CCUACGGGUGGCAGCAGUGGAGAAUAUUGGACAAUGGGGGCAACCCUGAUCCAGCCAUGCCGCGUGUGUGAAGAAGGCCCUCGGGUUGUAAAGCACUUUCAGUGAGGAAGAACGCCUGGUGGUUAAUACCCAUCAGGAAAGACAUCACUCACAGAAGAAGCACCGGCUAACUCCGUGCCAGCAGCCGCGGUAAUACGGAGGGUGCGAGCGUUAAUCGGAAUUACUGGGCGUAAAGCGCGCGUAGGUGGCUUGAUAAGCCGGUUGUGAAAGCCCCGGGCUCAACCUGGGAACGGCAUCCGGAACUGUCAAGCUAGAGUGCAGGAGAGGAAGGUAGAAUUCCCGGUGUAGCGGUGAAAUGCGUAGAGAUCGGGAGGAAUACCAGUGGCGAAGGCGGCCUUCUGGACUGACACUGACACUGAGGUGCGAAAGCGUGGGUAGCAAACAGGAUUAGAUACCCCAGUAGUC
RNAcentral lists this ribosomal RNA (465 nucleotides) under Vreelandella stevensii. RNAcentral's name for it is "partial 16S ribosomal RNA". It matches the Rfam family "Bacterial small subunit ribosomal RNA", at positions 338 to 795 of the family's 1533-position model. The record is from RNAcentral. Lineage: Bacteria; Pseudomonadati; Pseudomonadota; Gammaproteobacteria; Oceanospirillales; Halomonadaceae.